This 88-nucleotide transfer RNA is filed under the name Candidatus Altarchaeales archaeon WOR_SM1_79. RNAcentral's name for it is "Candidatus Altiarchaeales archaeon WOR_SM1_79 tRNA-Ser". It matches the Rfam family "tRNA". From Rfam's summary of the family: Transfer RNA (tRNA) molecules are approximately 80 nucleotides in length. Their secondary structure includes four short double-helical elements and three loops (D, anti-codon, and T loops). Lineage: Archaea; Nanobdellati; Candidatus Altarchaeota; Candidatus Altarchaeia; Candidatus Altarchaeales. The record is from RNAcentral.
GCCGAGGUGGCAGAGUCCGGUUAAAUGCGCAGGCCUUGAGAGUCUGUUCUUCGAAAGGAGAGCUUGGGUUCAAAUCCCAACCUCGGCG